UGGCUCAGGACGAACGCUGGCGGCGUGCCUAACACAUACAAGUCGAACGGGGUUACCCUUCGGUCAAAUGAGUUAACUUAGUGGCGGACGGGUGAGUAACGCGUGAGCAACCUGCCUUACAGAGGGGGACAACAGUUGGAAACGACUGCUAAUACCGCAUAACGUGCCGGAAGGACAUCCUUUUGGUACCAAAGGAGCAAUCCGCUGUAAGAUGGGCUCGCGUCCGAUUAGAUAGUUGGUGAGGUAACGGCCCACCAAGUCGACGAUCGGUAGCCGGACUGAGAGGUUGAACGGCCACAUUGGGACUGAGACACGGCCCAGACUCCUACGGGAGGCAGCAGUGGGGGAUAUUGCACAAUGGAGGAAACUCUGAUGCAGCAACGCCGCGUGAGGGAAGAAGGUUUUCGGAUUGUAAACCUCUGUUUUUAGUGAAGAAACAAAUGACGGUAGCUAAAGAGGAAGCCACGGCUAACUACGUG
Molecule: ribosomal RNA, 479 nt
Filed under: uncultured bacterium
Lineage: Bacteria
Description: bacterial SSU rRNA
Rfam family: Bacterial small subunit ribosomal RNA
Source: RNAcentral